GUGGGGAAUAUUGGACAAUGGGCGCAAGCCUGAUCCAGCAAUGCCGCGUGGGUGAAGAAGGCCUUCGGGUUGUAAAGCCCUUUUGUACGGAAAGAAAUCCUGGUGGUUAAUACCCGCCGGGGAUGACGGUACCGUAAGAAUAAGCACCGGCUAACUUCGUGCCAGCAGCCGCGGUAAUACGAAGGGUGCAAGCGUUAAUCGGAAUUACUGGGCGUAAAGCGUGCGUAGGUGGUUUCUUAAGUCUGUCGUGAAAGCCCUGGGCUCAACCUGGGAAUGGCGAUGGAGACUGGGCGGCUAGAGUGAGGUAGAGGAGGGCGGAAUUCCCGGUGUAGCGGUGAAAUGCGUAGAGAUCGGGAGGAACAUCUGUGACGAAGGCGGCCAUCUGGACCAGCACUGACACUGAGGUACGAAAGCGUGGGGAGCAAACAGGAUUAGAAACCCUAGUAGUCC
This 450-nucleotide ribosomal RNA is filed under the name uncultured bacterium. RNAcentral's name for it is "partial 16S ribosomal RNA". It matches the Rfam family "Bacterial small subunit ribosomal RNA", at positions 354 to 796 of the family's 1533-position model. The record is from RNAcentral.